AUGCCGGCCCUCGGGACGCUCUCCGCCGGCGGCGCCGCCGCCGGCGUCGCGGGCCUGCUCCGCCUCCGCCGCGGCCCCGCCCUCGCCUCGCCCCUGCCGGCCGCCGCCCGCGCCGGCGCCGUCCACGACGCCGGCCAGCUCGUCUGGGGCCGCCAGCUCCGCCCGGCCCUCGUCCUCCCCGCCGGCCUGCUCCCGCUCCAGGCCUCCAAGAGGCUCACGCUCCGACCGCCCGCCGCCUCCGCCGAGCCCGCCGGGGAGGCCAAGUCGCCAGGGUUGCUGGAGAAGUACCCUGCAAUCACCACCGGCUUCUUCUUCUUCAUGUGGUACUUCCUGAACGUCAUAUUCAACAUCCUUAACAAGAAGAUCUACAACUACUUCCCCUACCCAUACUUUGUCUCCGUGAUCCAUCUACUUGUGGGAGUUGUGUACUGCCUCCUCAGCUGGGCCGUCGGUCUCCCGAAGCGUGCGCCUAUCAAUGCAACGCUCCUGAAGCUGCUCUUUCCUGUGGCAUUGUGCCAUGCUCUUGGUCAUGUCACAAGCAACGUGUCCUUUGCUACUGUUGCAGUCUCGUUUGCCCACACUAUUAAAGCUUUGGAGCCCUUCUUCAAUGCAGCUGCUACCCAGUUUGUCCUUGGACAGACAGUUCCCUUGUCUCUGUGGUUGUCUCUUGCCCCUGUUGUGCUUGGUGUUUCAAUGGCAUCCCUCACUGAACUGUCGUUUAGCUGGAAGGGUUUCAUCAAUGCUAUGAUCUCUAACAUCUCAUUCACUUACCGGAGUAUUUAUUCCAAGAAAGCCAUGACUGACAUGGAUAGCACCAACGUGUAUGCUUACAUCUCAAUAAUUGCUCUAGUUGUCUGCAUACCGCCUGCACUUAUUAUUGAAGGACCACAGCUAAUGCAGUAUGGAUUAAACGAUGCAAUUGCAAAAGUAGGAAUGACAAAAUUUGUAUCAGAUCUUUUCCUGGUGGGAUUGUUCUACCAUCUCUAUAAUCAGAUUGCUACAAACACUUUGGAACGGGUGGCCCCUCUGACACAUGCUGUUGGCAAUGUGUUGAAAAGGGUUUUCGUCAUUGGUUUCUCGAUCAUCAUUUUUGGCAACAAAAUUACCACACAGACUGGAAUUGGGACUUGCGUUGCAAUAGCUGGUGUUGCCAUCUACUCGUACAUCAAAGCUAAGAUCGAGGAGGAGAAAAGGGCGAAGGCCGCGUGA
This 1209-nucleotide ribosomal RNA is filed under the name Triticum aestivum (bread wheat). Its description in RNAcentral is "partial small subunit ribosomal RNA". The record is from RNAcentral. Lineage: Eukaryota; Viridiplantae; Streptophyta; Magnoliopsida; Poales; Poaceae.